Cavia aperea (Brazilian guinea pig) is the source of this 98-nucleotide unclassified non-coding RNA. It matches the Rfam family "Y RNA". From Rfam's summary of the family: Y RNAs are components of the Ro ribonucleoprotein particle (Ro RNP), in association with Ro60 and La proteins. The Y RNAs and Ro60 and La proteins are well conserved, but the function of the Ro RNP is not known. The record is from Ensembl. Lineage: Eukaryota; Metazoa; Chordata; Mammalia; Rodentia; Caviidae.
GGCUGGUCCGAUGGCAGUAGGUUAUCAGAACUUAUUAACAUUAGUGUCACUAAAGUUGGUAUACCCCCCCCCCCACUGCUAAAUUUGACUGGCUUUAA